RNAcentral lists this unclassified non-coding RNA (3634 nucleotides) under Ooceraea biroi (clonal raider ant). RNAcentral describes it as "probable G-protein coupled receptor Mth-like 3, transcript variant X1". Lineage: Eukaryota; Metazoa; Arthropoda; Insecta; Hymenoptera; Formicidae. The record is from RNAcentral.
UUGUUGCCGUUUGUAAGAAUUUGUUGGCAAAACCUUUUUUCUGAACCGCCUUGUAUACACGCAUCCGCAACACAUCGUUUUUCAUGGCAGAUUGCUUUAACCGUUGUUGAUGAUUAGCAAACCAGUAGUACCGUCUUGCUGUUCGUACGAAUGAGUAUCUCUCGCGCGCUUCAUUCGUUAAAAAGAAUUAAAUAUGUAGUGCCGACUUUAUUGACCAUUUAGUGAGAUAAUAUUAUCCGUGCAAUCAGCUUCGGAUAUCGUUGGACAUCUUAUUACGAGUCUGCUGAAGAAAGGCAUUAAGCUGGUCUAAUAAACUAGAUCCGUGAAAGAAUUAAAGAUGCAUCGAGAAAGUCUUAUACUUUGCUGCUACGCUUGUCUAUUCAUUGUUAUAUCACUGGAACCUCGACGGAAUUCUGCGAAUGACGAUGUAACAACAAUACAAUAUGCACCUCAUACAAUAUUCACGGGAGGUGUCCAGAAAAAAUGGCAAUACAAUCUGCAUGAGAACAUUACCGAGGAUAAUAAUGAGACGCAGCAUGAAUUUCGUACUAAUUUUACGAAGGAGGACCGUGAGAGCGAUGGAACCUCGACAGAAUAUGAAUUUCAUACUACGAGAAACCAUAAAGAGGACGAUCGAAGGGCAGUACAGUUUGACGUGAACAGCACGAGCGUGGAAGACGAAAGCUAUUCUACGUUGCACGAGCUUCCAAAUCUCAGCAAAGAUAACAACAACACUGAAUGCGUUAACAAUAACAGCUGCAUUCAGCUUUGCUGUCCUUUAGGUGAACAUCUGAUUAAAGAGAAAUGUGUCACUGGAGAAGGUAAUUAUUCGUUUCCGGUCGUCCGUGGAUAUACGAAUAAUUCAUCACAAAUGCAAAAGGCAAAUAAGAGUAUGGACCAAGUGCUUCAGUUGAUCGUUCACGAUCCAUGCCAAGGAAGCAAUCAUUUGCUGCUUAAUGAAACCGACGGUUUGGAAUAUGAUAUUUUCGCCAACGGCUCUUUGCAUCUAUCGCGUUGGAACAUGAUCAUCCAACCGAAGAGCUAUUGCCUCGCCAUUGUACAUCAAGACAAGUACGACGCGCUCGUCUGCAAACAGAAAAGAUCAGCAUUUCCGAUUAUUGUAACCGUCGGCGUCAUAGUAUCCCUGCCAUUUCUGCUGGCAACAUUUGUGGUUUACUCCAUCCUGCCGGAACUCCAAAAUAUGCACGGCUAUACGUUGCGCGCACACGUCAGUUCGCUGUUUGUUACAUACCUGGUCCUCGCAGUGUACCAGCAGACUACAUUACAACAACUGGGAUAUACCAUGUGCUUCAUACUAGCAUUGCUUCUGACAUUUUCUUUCUCGGCGAGUUUCUUCUGGCUGAAUAUAAUGUGCUUCGACAUUUGGUGGAUAUUUAGAAGAAAAACUCGUUCAUCGCAAGGGAACGUGAAACAACGAGAUAGAAAAAAGUUCAUGUUAUAUGCGUUGUAUGGCUGGGGAUGCGCUUUCAUUCUUAUCAUCAUUUGUAUCUUGAUAGAUUACGUGUUAGUUGUGCCAGAGAAUUUCAUUCGGCCAGAAUUUUGCGUUCGUACUCUGUGGUUCAGUGAAAGAGUGGCAAGAACGUAUUAUUUUUAUAUACCCGUGGGUAUCACUAUUGUUUGUAAUAUUUGUUUAUUUAUUUCCACGGCACUGACGAUUGCACGUCACAAGAAAGAUACAGAUCAACAUCUAAGAAAUUCGACAGAGACGAGGCGUCAGGAUGAGAAUAAGCAAUGGUUCAAAAUGUAUCUCAAAUUAUUCAUCCUGAUGGGCAUAAUCUGGAUUAUGGAGAUAAUAGCUGUUCAUUCAUGGGCGUUUAAUAAUCCGCCAGCAUACAUCUGGUAUCCCACCGAUAUGAUAAACGCACUUCAGGGUGUCAUUAUCUUUCUCAUAUUUGUGUGGAAGAGAAAGAUUGGGUUGUUGUUGAUGAAACGACUGGGUUAUCAAAAUUGUUUAUGUUUCUACAGAAAUUCAACGAACAACGAUUGCCACAGUACUUCAACUUCGUAUACUACUGCAUCGGGAACAGUAACUCUUCAAUCUGUUAGUCCUUGCGCGCAGACAUACUGUGGUGUGAAGAGUUCGCCCAACGAAACCAAUACCUAAAAAAUGUUCUUUUUGUUGUAAAUGUUUUUACUGUUGUACAUCAAGCUCAAUCAGUAUCAGUAUCAGAAUUUAUUAGAUGUGUGUGAAAAGUUUAGUUUUUUUCACACAUUUUUGCUUUAGAUGAAUAAUUAUAUGUACAAUUCAGUCAUCAAAAUAUUUGCCCUCGUUUUUUAUGAUUGUCUAUUAUCUCUCCAGUAUGUUUUGGAUUUCUCCAUGAAAAAAAAGAUAUCGGUUUGAAGGUGAUAAAAUCAUUGAUCCAUUUUGUAUCUGAGCCACAUCUCGAAAACACAAAACUCCAGCUGAAGAAUGCUGCACUAAUCGAAAUAAGUGGUAAUCCGAAAACGCCAAGACGAAUGAAUACUAUGUGUGUGGAAAAAUAUUCCACUCCAAGUUAAAAAUGAGUUUGGGAUUAUGUUUAUCAUUAAAUCAUGACAUAUAAAAUUUUAUAAACUUUGAUGCUCGCUCUCCAAAAACCUAAAAUGCGAGAAUUUAUUUGAAGGUUAAUAAUUAUAGCAGAACAGAGAGAAAGAAACUUAAACUUUUGCACAUUUACUUAAUUAUACUUAAUAUUAUUAUACUUAAUUAUACUUUAACAUGUAUGUAUAUAUGUAACUUACUAAUUUUUCGAUUACAAAUAGUCGGAAGAAAUUGUUUUCUUAUGUAUGUUGAUAUAUUUGUUAAUCUCUUUUUUUCUAUUGUUUCGUGAUACCGGAACCGCCCAGCGUUGAGCGCGAGACUGUGCUCUCGGAGCCCUGAUGAUUCCGAGCGUAUGGAGGGAGAGGGAGUUACAGGUUGAGAGAGAACUCGUGGGUACUCAGCGGUCAGUUUAUUUCACUGCAAUUCGUGCACCAAGUCGAAGUAGGCGCAGAUCGGAGAUCUUCAACACUUGCGGAUGACGCGGCGGAUGUCUUGAUCGCGUCGGUUUCGGCGAGCUUUCACGCGUGCACCGAUACACGAGGUGGCAGUUCGUCAAAGACACCGAAUGGUUUGGUGCAGCGGCGAAUCGUUGACGCGCGCCUGACAACAUUCAGACGCGUCGGACGUCGAAAAUGAGAGAGCGGCUCAACAGCGAAGCGAGUUGAGAGUGGCUCGAGACUCGAAUUGGUUUUAGAUCGAUCUUCACGCGAGCGCUGACAAAGCUCUAAUAAUGUUCCCGAGACCUCGCCUUCCUUUGAAUCCCUCAGAUAACUCGACUGACACGGUGACAACAAGGCUUCGGACGUUAGGCUCUUGAUAGAUAUACGUGUCUAAAAACUCGAGUCAAUGUCGCGGACAGCCAGCGGAUCGGCUAGCUCCAUUGUUUCGAGUCGAUCGAGUUCGCGAAAAUAACUUAUUUGUCGCGUUCUUACAUGAAACCAAGCGAGCUCGAGAACUGUCUGAAGAUCUCGAAUAACGACGGAUUAAAUUAAGCUUCAAUGAUUGUAAUUCGGAACAUCUAUGAUAUUCAUUGUUAGAGGAAAAUAUAUUAUAAUGGUAAAAAAAUUAAAUAAAAAAUAAAUGUAUGUUGGG